Molecule: long non-coding RNA, 477 nt
Filed under: Capsella rubella
Lineage: Eukaryota; Viridiplantae; Streptophyta; Magnoliopsida; Brassicales; Brassicaceae
Description: long non-coding RNA (CRUB_LNC001048)
Source: RNAcentral
CGAUCUCUUUGACACUAAGAAGAAGCCCAACAACAUCAAGCUCUAUGUCCGUCGUGUCUUCAUCAUGGACAACUGUGAAGACAUCAUUCCUGAGUACCUUGGAUUUGUCAAGGGUAUUGUCGACUCUGAAGAUCUUCCUCUCAACAUCUCCAGGGAAACGUUGCAGCAGAACAAGAUCCUCAAGGUCAUCCGCAAGAACCUUGUGAAGAAGUGCAUUGAGCUCUUCUUUGAGAUUGCUGAGAACAAGGAGGACUACAACAAGUUCUACGAGGCUUUCUCUAAGAACCUGAAGCUUGGUAUCCACGAGGACUCACAAAACAGGACAAAGAUCGCUGAGUUGCUCCGCUACCACUCAACCAAGAGCGGUGAUGAGUUGACCAGUCUGAAGGACUAUGUGACAAGGAUGAAGGAAGGUCAGAACGAUAUCUUCUACAUUACUGGUGAGAGCAAAAAGGCUGUUGAGAACUCUCCAUUCCU